This 69-nucleotide transfer RNA is filed under the name Ictidomys tridecemlineatus (thirteen-lined ground squirrel). RNAcentral describes it as "Spermophilus tridecemlineatus (thirteen-lined ground squirrel) tRNA". It matches the Rfam family "tRNA". Rfam says of the family: Transfer RNA (tRNA) molecules are approximately 80 nucleotides in length. Their secondary structure includes four short double-helical elements and three loops (D, anti-codon, and T loops). Further hydrogen bonds mediate the characteristic L-shaped molecular structure. tRNAs have two regions of fundamental functional importance: the anti-codon, which is responsible for specific mRNA codon recognition, and the 3' end, to which the tRNAs corresponding amino acid is attached (by aminoacyl-tRNA synthetases). tRNAs cope with the degeneracy of the genetic code in two manners: having more than one tRNA (with a specific anti-codon) for a particular amino acid; and 'wobble' base-pairing, i.e. permitting non-standard base-pairing at the 3rd anti-codon position. Lineage: Eukaryota; Metazoa; Chordata; Mammalia; Rodentia; Sciuridae. The record is from Rfam by way of RNAcentral.
GGGGUUGUGGCUCAGUGGUAGAGCACUCGCCUACCAUGCAUGAGGCACUGAGUUUGAUCCUUAGCACCA